Molecule: long non-coding RNA, 792 nt
Organism: Cotesia glomerata
Lineage: Eukaryota; Metazoa; Arthropoda; Insecta; Hymenoptera; Braconidae
Exons: 3
Source: RefSeq, a predicted model, not a curated record
AAAUUAUUAAUAUUUAUGAUGAUAAGCGGUUAUUUAGGCACUAUGUUGACACAAAAAUUGUCCUUGGCCCUCUCUUUAAGUUUCUACAAGCUAUUAUAUAGAAUACAGAGAAAUGUUUUUCUCUUUCUAUGUACCCUCUCUUUCUUUCUCUCUUGCUCUCUUUAUCGCUCCUUAUUAUCAUCUUUAUUGCUAUGGUAGCGUCGGUGGUUCGGUUAUUUAGUUAAUUUAAAGAACUGAGAUAAAAACUUUGAGCAAUGACAUCUAGUCUUGAUUUUUUAAACUAAUUAUUUACACUAUAGGAAGUGGAUGAUGACGUCGGUUUAAUCUAACAAGUUUUAUGAUAUAUAGAAAUUAUUAACUUUGAUCAUAUUCAAACGAUGCAAGUUUAUGUUUUCAAACAGCCAUAAACAAUUAAAAUAAUAGUUUCAAUUAUUUUUUAUCUAAUUAGUUUAUUUUAUUAAUAAUUGGCAAUGCAACAGUGAUACCAACCAAUUAAAAACUGCAUUCAUACUGGACUGAUCGAUUAUGCCCGGAAAUUUGAUGAAAAUUGGCGCGCAAAUACAAAGAGUUAUAAAAAUAACAAUUUACAAUACAAAAUACAACAGCUUGCGCCCAUCCAGCCAGUGGUCCCCACUUGGUGCGUAAAUGGCGACUGAUUUCUUGAUACAUCGUCGGAGUUAACGAUGAAACUUCUUUUAAAUCAGAAGUUAUAACGUUCGGAAAAAGGUGGAAUAGCCCGAUAACAGUGAUCAUGUCGUCUGCAACAUCUAUCAACGCUGUUCAAGCCCCCAA